UACGUAGGUGGCAAGCGUUGUCCGGAUUUAUUGGGUUUAAAGGGUGCGUAGGCGGUCUAUUAAGUCAGUUGUGAAAUACGGCAGCUCAACUGUCGAGGUGCAAUUGAUACUGAUGGACUUGAGUACUGAUGAGGUAAGCGGAAUGGACGGUGUAGCGGUGAAAUGCUUAGAUAUCGUCCAGAACACCGAUAGCGAAGGCAGCUUACUAAGGAGUAACUGACGCUGAGGCACGAAAGUGUGGGGAUCGAACAGG
RNAcentral lists this ribosomal RNA (253 nucleotides) under uncultured bacterium. RNAcentral's name for it is "partial 16S ribosomal RNA". It matches the Rfam family "Bacterial small subunit ribosomal RNA", at positions 524 to 776 of the family's 1533-position model. The record is from RNAcentral.